CAGCCGCCGCGGGAAUACGAAGGGGGCUAGCGUUGUUCGGAAUUACUGGGCGUAAAGCGCACGUAGGCGGAUAUUUAAGUCAGGGGUGAAAUCCCGCAGCUCAACUGCGGAACUGCCUUUGAUACUGGGUAUCUUGAGUAUGGAAGAGGUUAGUGGAAUUGCGAGUGUAGAGGUGAAAUUCGUAGAUAUUCGCAGGAACACCAGUGGCGAAGGCGGCUAACUGGUCCAUAACUGACGCUGAGGUGCGAAAGCGUGGGGAGCAAACAGGAUUAGAGACCCCUGUAGUCCCUGUCUCUUAUAC
Molecule: ribosomal RNA, 301 nt
Filed under: uncultured bacterium
Lineage: Bacteria
Description: partial 16S ribosomal RNA
Rfam family: Bacterial small subunit ribosomal RNA
Source: RNAcentral